GAGCUAGAGGUUCCGCGGGCCUGGCUACAAUGAGUGUGGUGAUGAGGGGGGAAGCUUUGCAGGUUCCUUUUGAUACGUAAUGACACAUUGGGUGAAUGUGUCAAAGGGGGGAGUGAUAAAAUAGAAACGGGUGAGUAGGUUUCAAUUUGUAAUUGUGAUAUACAGUUUUUUCCAAAUUCACUUGUUUUUAAGCUUUAACAGGACAUGCCAGAAUUGAACUAGCAGUGAUGGAAGGAGCAGAGGAAGACCAGUGACAUCUGGUUGUGGUGUGGUGACAACAAAUUAUAUGAUCGCUUGCCGAAGAAUGCAUCAGGUAUCUGUGCCCUCGUGUCUUUGAUAAUGCCUGUAGUGGUUGUCCCCAUUGAAAUACAGAAUCUCAAUUGGAACAUGGAGUCCCCACUGGCGGGGCUCCUGAAGCGAGCCAAAAGAGACGUUUUGCCCCCAUGGUUGAGCGACAACGAUCCAACAUAUAUUGACGCCAUAGGAGUGCCCCGGGGUGUGCCAGAUAAGUAUAAACUCGUUAAUCAAGUGUCCUCGGGAUUCGAAAGUAUUUUCCUAUGGAUCACCCCCAAUAAAAAUGUAGACCGUAUUAAUUACGUUCAUUACAAUGUCCAACGACUGGGUAACUAUACAGCUGAAUCAUUUGCAGUAGUUCAUGAACAAUUGGCUGCAACGUCGUUGAUGGCAUUCUAAAAUAGAAUUGCGUUGGACAUGCUAUUGGCUAAGGAACAUGGUGUGUGUGGAAUGUUUGGUGAUGCAUGUUGUACUUUCAUCCCAAACAACACGGCACCAGGGGGCCGACUGACCAGGGCGUUGGAAGGACUAAGGACACUGAA
This is a long non-coding RNA of Syngnathus acus (greater pipefish), 836 nucleotides long. RefSeq lists it as uncharacterized. Lineage: Eukaryota; Metazoa; Chordata; Actinopteri; Syngnathiformes; Syngnathidae. The transcript is spliced from 2 exons. The record is from RefSeq and is a predicted model, not a curated record.